UCCUACGGGGGGCAGCAGUGAGGAAUAUUGGUCAAUGGCCGGAAGGCUGAACCAGCCAAGCCGCGUGAAGGACGAAGGUGCCAAGCAUUGUAAACUUCUUUUGUCAAGGGACAAAAUCAGGCUCGAGAGCCUGACCGAGGGUACUUGACGAAAAAGCAUCGGCUAACUCCGUGCCAGCAGCCGCGGUAAUACGGAGGAUGCGAGCGUUAUCCGGAUUUAUUGGGUUUAAAGGGUGCGUAGGCGGACUGUUAAGUCAGCGGUAAAAGCCCGGGGCUCAACCCAGGCGAGCCGUUGAAACUGGCUGU
Molecule: ribosomal RNA, 305 nt
Filed under: uncultured bacterium
Lineage: Bacteria
Description: bacterial SSU rRNA
Rfam family: Bacterial small subunit ribosomal RNA
Source: RNAcentral